RNAcentral lists this long non-coding RNA (387 nucleotides) under Hordeum vulgare. Its description in RNAcentral is "long non-coding RNA (HVUL_LNC009916)". The record is from RNAcentral. Lineage: Eukaryota; Viridiplantae; Streptophyta; Magnoliopsida; Poales; Poaceae.
GGAGUUCAGAAGACUUUGAGUGCACGCCAAGGGAAAGGUGAAUCAGUUGAUGUAGGUGAAUUUUCUUGAAAUGAAAGUGUGGCUUCUUAAAUACCAAGCUUAUAUGGAAGUCUAGGGAAAUCAUUUUGAUUUGCUUCUCUUAUGGAAUAACGCUUCCAUUUUUCAUUCUAGGCAAUAAAGAUUCAGAACAUGCUGAAAUUGAAUGAAACAUAUAUUCAAUUGAAGAACUGUGAUACAAUGGAAUAUUUGUGAUUGCAAAAACGUCAAACUGGAGACGAGUAAGGCAUUCUCCUCUUAUGUGCAGAACCCUCUGUCCCCUCUUUUGCAAUCUGUCUUGUCCCCUGGUAUAUCAUUGUCCGUGUGAUGGUGCCUUGAGGAGCAUCCGAG